Molecule: ribosomal RNA, 847 nt
Filed under: uncultured crenarchaeote
Lineage: Archaea; Thermoproteati; Thermoproteota
Description: bacterial SSU rRNA
Rfam family: Archaeal small subunit ribosomal RNA
Source: RNAcentral
GGCUAACCUGCCCUCGGGACGGGAACACCCCCGGGAAACUGGGGCUAAUUCCCGAUAGGUGAAGAACUCUGGAAUGAGUCUCCGCCCAAAAGACGCUUAGAUCACGCUUUUAAGCGCCGCCCAAGGAUGGGGCCGCGACCGAUCAGGUUGUUGGUGAGGUAACGGCCCACCAAGCCUUUUACCGGUGCGGGCCGUGGGAGCGGGAGCCCGGAGAUGGGCACUGAGACAAGGGCCCAGGCCCUACGGGGCGCAGCAGUCGCGAAAACUUUGCAAUAAGCGAAAGCUUGACAGGGCUAUCCCGAGUGCCAUCCGCUGAGGAAGGCUUUUACCCAGUCUAGAACGCUGGGAGAAUAAGGAGAGGGCAAGUCUGGUGUCAGCCGCCGCGGUAAUACCAGCUCUCCGAGUGGUGUGGAUGUUUAUUGGGCCUAAAGCAUCCGUAGCUGGCCAGGCAAGUCCCCUGUUAAAUCCACCGAAUCAAUCGUUGGAUUGCGGGGGAUACUGCCCGGCUAGGGGACGAGAGAGGCCGACGGUAUUUCCGGGGUAGGGGUGAAAUCCUAUAAUCCCGGGAGGACCACCAGUGGCGAAGGCUGUCGGCUAGAACGCGCCCGACGGUGAGGGAUGAAAGCUGGGGGAGCGAACCGGAUUAGAUACCCGGGUAGUCCCAGCUGUAAACGAUGCAGGCUAGGUGUUUGGGCGGCCACGUGCCGCUCUAGUGCCGCAGGGAAGCUGUUAAGCCUGCCGCCUGGGGAGUACGGUCGCAAGGCUGAAACUUAAAGGAAUUGGCGGGGGAGCACCACAAGGGGUGAAGCUUGCGGUUUAAUUGGAGUCAACGCCGGAGAUCUCACCG